Molecule: long non-coding RNA, 1033 nt
Organism: Hemibagrus wyckioides
Lineage: Eukaryota; Metazoa; Chordata; Actinopteri; Siluriformes; Bagridae
Exons: 2
Source: RefSeq, a predicted model, not a curated record
CGUUCGCCUUCACACAGGGACGUUCGGUCUCCUUCAGUUCCAUUGUAUAUUAGCUAUGGGGGAACUGUAUGAGAUGGGGGGGAAGGCACUGGUUUAUAAAUGAAGCACAGUGGUCACGCGAUUCAGAAAAUGAGAGCAUGCAACACACCACACAGAGGACAGCGAAAGGGAGUGCGUUGCCGUGACAACCGUAUUUUGCCCACACUCACGUUCCCUUCAGAAAUGACAGCCUUUUAAAUGACCUUCAAGUCACAGAUGAGAAUUGUGUCUCACGGGAACACAAGGUACUCAUCUGAGUCGGAGUUAAAACGGAAAAUGAGACAGAAAGAUGGUUCAUAAAAGGGAAGGCGAGAAAAACUGAGUCAUAUCCUGGCCAAGAUCGUCACAAUGUGCUUGUAGAUUGUCUGGAAUCUAGGAGACGUGAUGAGAACAUGUUGUCCUUUCGAAACGAUGCGUGUAUAAUGAACUUCAACGCCGCUGUACUUCCCUCUAGUGGGUGAUGUGGUUACUUUCUUGAGAAUGAAGAUGAAGUGCUGAUUAAUUCUCCGUGGCCUCGUUGUGCCUUCGACGUCGACGAGCUCAUGAGGUGAAGAUGUGUGGAUUUGUUAUUAUCUGGACCCUCGAUUUGUUCAAGCACAAAAAUGCAGCUCCAGAUGUUUUGUAACUAAAACUAACAUGCAGUAUAGGCGGUCAUUUCAGACGGCAGUAGGAAGGAAGACUGAAAAUAGUGAUUGCAGGACAUUUUGGUCCAUGGAAUAGUAUAAACUACAAAAUACUGAGCAUCUAAAUAGGUCAAGUGUCUAUUCUGGGACUCUGCACUACAACCUAUGAAAAGCAACAGCUGCUUCUUGUUGUUGGUGGUGGACUAGUUUAUAGACAACACAGUGAUUACUGAAGUAUUGGGUCAAGUCCCAAUUCAUUCUGUUUUGUAGGUUUGGUGAAAUGCUCCGAUUAAAGAUUCCCUCAUCUAUUAUGAUUAUAUUAAUGCUGACAAAUAAUAAAAAUGUCAGAAUAAAUAAUGCCAUUUUGUUUA